CAUGUGUAAGUUUAAAGACCAAGUAGGAUGAAACUGCGGACGGCUCAUUAUAACAGUAAUAGUUUCUUUGGUUAGUAUGUACAAGGAUAACUUUGUGAAUGAUAAAGCUAAUACUUGAGACGAUCCGGGGAGUAUUUAUACUUUUCGGCCCUUGGUCGCAAGGCUGGCGAGAAACGACAUUCUCUUGUGAAAAAGGAUGCCGCGACAAUUGAGGAAAGCGACGCUUUUAACAAGUAACCAAUGGGAAUUUCUGAUCUAUCAAUUUGUUGGUAGUAUCGAGGACUACCAAGAUUAUAACGGAUAACGAGGAAUUGGGGUUCGACAUCGGAGAGGGAGCUUUACAGAUGGCUACCACUUCUAAGGAAGGCAGCAGGCGCGUAAAUUACCCACUUUCGACACGAAGAGGUAGUGACGACAAAUAACUCUUG
This 428-nucleotide ribosomal RNA is filed under the name Entamoeba bovis. RNAcentral's name for it is "SSU rRNA". It matches the Rfam family "Eukaryotic small subunit ribosomal RNA", at positions 54 to 486 of the family's 1831-position model. The record is from RNAcentral. Lineage: Eukaryota; Evosea; Mastigamoebida; Endamoebidae.